Molecule: ribosomal RNA, 467 nt
Filed under: uncultured bacterium
Lineage: Bacteria
Description: partial 16S ribosomal RNA
Rfam family: Bacterial small subunit ribosomal RNA
Source: RNAcentral
GACGAACGCUGGCGGCGUGCUUAACACAUGCAAGUCGAACGGAAAGGCCUCUUUCGGGGGGUACUCGAGUGGCGAACGGGUGAGUAACACGUGAGUAACCUGCCCUUGACUUUGGGAUAACUUCAGGAAACUGGGGCUAAUACCGGAUAGGAGCUCCUGCUGCAUGGUGGGGGUUGGAAAGUUUCGGCGGUUGGGGAUGGACUCGCGGCUUAUCAGCUUGUUGGUGGGGUAGUGGCUUACCAAGGCGUUGACGGGUAGCCGGCCUGAGAGGGUGACCGGCCACAUUGGGACUGAGAUACGGCCCAGACUCCUACGGGAGGCAGCAGUGGGGAAUAUUGCACAAUGGGUGGAAGCCUGAUGCAGCAACGCCGUGUGCGGGAUGACGGCCUUCGGGUUGUAAACCGCUUUCGCUCAUGACGAAGCUUUGUGUGACGGUAGUGGGUAAAGAAGCACCGGCUAACUACGUG